Prolemur simus (greater bamboo lemur) is the source of this 101-nucleotide small nuclear RNA. Lineage: Eukaryota; Metazoa; Chordata; Mammalia; Primates; Lemuridae. The record is from Ensembl.
GUGUGGACAACACAUAUACCAAAAUUAGGAGAAUACCGAGAAGAUGAGCGUGGCCCCCGCCCAAGGAUGACACUCCCAUUUGUGAAGUAUCCCAUAUUUUG